UACGUAGGUGGCAAGCGUUAUCCGGAUUUACUGGGUGUAAAGGGCGUGUAGGCGGGGAAGCAAGUCAGAUGUGAAAACCACGGGCUCAACCUGUGGCCUGCAUUUGAAACUGUUUUUCUUGAGUGCUGGAGAGGCAAUCGGAAUUCCGUGUGUAGCGGUGAAAUGCGUGGAUAUACGGAGGAACACCAGUGGCGAAGGCGGAUUGCUGGACAGUAACUGACGCUGAGGCGCGAAAGCGUGGGGAGCAAACAGG
RNAcentral lists this ribosomal RNA (253 nucleotides) under uncultured bacterium. RNAcentral's name for it is "partial 16S ribosomal RNA". It matches the Rfam family "Bacterial small subunit ribosomal RNA", at positions 524 to 776 of the family's 1533-position model. The record is from RNAcentral.